ACAUUGAAUGAGUCAGUGAUGUUGGUGGGUGCUUGGUACGGGGCCCGGCUUACAUAAGAAAUCUGUAAAUGGCAGCUGUCAUUGUGGCUACUGGUGUGUUGUGUGCAUUGGAAUCUGUCAGGGACUUAAGAGACUGAGGGGGUUCCAGGAGCUUUGUGGGGCAGCAUUGGGAGUGUGAACCCCCAUCCAGGUUCUCACCUCUCAAACUUCCUCAGAUGCUGAGCCCCACUUAUAAGCAGCGUAAUGAGGACUUCCGGAAACUGUUCAGCAAACUCCCCGAAGCAGAACGCCUCAUUGUGGAUUACUCCUGCGCCCUGCAGCGUGAGAUCCUGCUCCAGGGCCGCCUCUACCUCUCCGAGAACUGGAUCUGCUUCUACAGCAACAUCUUCCGCUGGGAGACCACGAUCUCCAUCCAGCUGAAGGAAGUGACAUGUCUGAAGAAGGAAAAGACGGCCAAGCUGAUCCCCAACGCCAUCCAGAUCUGCACGGAGAGCGAGAAGGUGACGGAGGACCCGGUGACGGGACCACGCGGUCACCCCCUCAGCAGGCCGCCUCCCCCAAACAUGCAAAGCCUCAUUUGUUCUGCACCCUGAGUUCUC
RNAcentral lists this small RNA (599 nucleotides) under Pan troglodytes (chimpanzee). RNAcentral's name for it is "retained intron". The record is from RNAcentral. Lineage: Eukaryota; Metazoa; Chordata; Mammalia; Primates; Hominidae.